UGACCAGCUAACAGCCGUGUUGCUGUCACGGAAAGUAAACAAAAGACGCUUGUAACACCGACACACACCUUCGGCAAAUAUACAGAAAUGUGAAAAACUUUAGCAUCCUGCAAUCACAGAUGAGUCAAUAGGAGGAAGCAAUUAAAUGAGGAGGGAAGCAUUCCGGUGAAAUGGAGCAGCUGUUCAGUUGGGUGCUACACAUUGGUACGAGUGGUUGAGGCAAUUUCAUCUGCUGCCCGUCACUGCUCGGACUUUCAUUUUGAGACUUGCGGGGCAUCUUGUUUACCUGACACCGCAUCCCGACUGCCGGCGAGCUGCCUGAGCAGCGGCGGCCCCUGAGCCGAAGCCCCGCACCGCGGCGAGGAGUGACAGGCCAGCGAUUUCCUCAGCCUGCCCAACGGCUGCCGAGAUCAAAGGCCUCCGCAUCCACCCCGUUUCGUUUUUACGUCCAGGGAAAUACAUAUCUAUACGCCGAGGCACGCUGUUCUUUGUUUACCGUCCUCGUGUUUUCUCGUUUGUCGUUUGAA
This is a long non-coding RNA of Anguilla anguilla (European eel), 527 nucleotides long. RefSeq lists it as uncharacterized. The record is from RefSeq and is a predicted model, not a curated record. NCBI's taxonomy places the organism in Eukaryota, Metazoa, Chordata, Actinopteri, Anguilliformes, Anguillidae. The transcript has 3 exons.